RNAcentral lists this ribosomal RNA (528 nucleotides) under uncultured bacterium. Its description in RNAcentral is "partial 16S ribosomal RNA". It matches the Rfam family "Bacterial small subunit ribosomal RNA", at positions 355 to 874 of the family's 1533-position model. The record is from RNAcentral.
UGGGGAAUUUUGGACAAUGGGCGAAAGCCUGAUCCAGCAAUGCCGCGUGUGUGAAGAAGGCCUUCGGGUUGUAAAGCACUUUUGUCCGGAAAGAAAUCCUCUGGGUUAAUACCUCGGGGGGAUGACGGUACCGGAAGAAUAAGCACCGGCUAACUACGUGCCAGCAGCCGCGGUAAUACGUAGGGUGCAAGCGUUAAUCGGAAUUACUGGGCGUAAAGCGUGCGCAGGCGGUUUUGUAAGACGGAUGUGAAAUCCCCGGGCUUAACCUGGGAACUGCAUUCGUGACUGCAAGGCUAGAGUAUGGCAGAGGGGGGUAGAAUUCCACGUGUAGCAGUGAAAUGCGUAGAGAUGUGGAGGAAUACCGAUGGCGAAGGCAGCCCCCUGGGCCAAUACUGACGCUCAUGCACGAAAGCGUGGGGGAGCAAACAGGAUUAGGAUACCCUGGUAGUCCACGCCCUAAACGAUGUCAACUAGUUGUUGGGGAUUCAUUUCCUUAGUAACGUAGCUAACGCGUGAAGUUGACCGCCU